Molecule: transfer RNA, 65 nt
Filed under: Sungaya inexpectata
Lineage: Eukaryota; Metazoa; Arthropoda; Insecta; Phasmatodea; Heteropterygidae
Description: tRNA-Ala
Rfam family: tRNA
About the family: Transfer RNA (tRNA) molecules are approximately 80 nucleotides in length.
Source: RNAcentral
AGGAUUAUAGUUAAAAAUAACAUUUGAAUUGCAAUCAAAAAGUACUAAAAAGAUAGUUAAUCUUA